UACAGAGGGGGCAAGCGUUAUUCGGAAUCAUUGGGCGUAAAGCGCGUGUAGGCGGCCCGGUAAGUCCGCUGUGAAAGUCCAGGGCUCAACCCUGGGAUGCCGGUGGAUACUGUCGGGCUCGAGUCCGGAAGAGGCGAGUGGAAUUCCUGGUGUAGCGGUGGAAUGCGCAGAUAUCAGGAGGAACACCAAUGGCGAAGGCAGCUCGCUGGGACGUGACUGACGCUGAGACGCGAAAGCGUGGGGAGCAAACAGG
This 253-nucleotide ribosomal RNA is filed under the name uncultured bacterium. Its description in RNAcentral is "partial 16S ribosomal RNA". It matches the Rfam family "Bacterial small subunit ribosomal RNA", at positions 524 to 776 of the family's 1533-position model. The record is from RNAcentral.